AAGAGGUGUAAAUAAACCAUUAGAACUGCUAACUCAAAUAGCUAAGGAUAAUACCCUUAGGCCUCUUA
This 68-nucleotide transfer RNA is filed under the name Darevskia mixta. RNAcentral describes it as "tRNA-Ser". Lineage: Eukaryota; Metazoa; Chordata; Lepidosauria; Squamata; Lacertidae. The record is from RNAcentral. RNAcentral also lists the same sequence under 2 other names.